UAGGGAAUAUUGGACAAUGGGUGAGAGCCUGAUCCAGCCAUGCCGCGUGCAGGAAGAAGGCGUUAUGCGUUGUAAACUGCUUUUUGCCAGGGGAUAAAAAGACCGUGCGCGGUUAAUUGAAGGUACCUGGUGAAUAAGCACCGGCUAACUCUGUGCCAGCAGCCGCGGUAAUACAGAGGGUGCAAGCGUUAAUCGGAAUGACUGGGCGUAAAGGGCGCGUAGGUGGAUGCGUGAGUAAAUUGUGAAAGACCCGGGCUUAACCUGGGAAGGUCAAUUUAAACGGCGUAUCUAGAGUGGAGUAGAGGGAAGUAGAAUUUCCGGUGUAGCGGUGAAAUGCGUAGAUAUCGGAAGGAAUACCGGUGGCGAAGGCGUCUUCCUGGACUCUAACUGACACUGAGGCGCGAAAGCGUGGGGAGCAAACAGGAUUAGAUACCCAGGUAGUCCCUGAGCGGGCUGGCAAGGCGCAU
Molecule: ribosomal RNA, 467 nt
Filed under: uncultured bacterium
Lineage: Bacteria
Description: bacterial SSU rRNA
Rfam family: Bacterial small subunit ribosomal RNA
Source: RNAcentral